This 630-nucleotide ribosomal RNA is filed under the name Triticum aestivum (bread wheat). RNAcentral describes it as "partial small subunit ribosomal RNA". Lineage: Eukaryota; Viridiplantae; Streptophyta; Magnoliopsida; Poales; Poaceae. The record is from RNAcentral.
AUGGCUAUUUUGCAAAACAAACCUCAUAAUCUUAAAACCAAUACAAACAGGUUCCUCACUCCAUCUUCUUCCUCCGCCCCUCGACCGCGUGUCGCCUGGGGCCGGCGCCCCCCAGCUGCGAAAUUCGCCGCCGCAUCCAAGGACCUGCUCCGCCUCAGCCGUCCAGGAACUGCUCCACCGCCGCCGCCUAGGAACUGCACCGUUGAGAUCCCCUCCCGUCGCGAUCCCCUACGCGUCGCCGCCACCCAGGACCUUCAUCUGCCCAUCGUCCGUGUGUCAUCGGAACCUCCUGCCACGAUCCGGUGGACCAGGAGGUCCCACGCGCGCCUGGGUGGAGCUGGCGGAGCUUUGCCCGUGCUACCGCUCCUCCACUGCGCGUGCUCUGACCUGGACCUCGGUGGAGCUCUGCUUCUCCACUCCUGCUUCUCCCCUGCCGCCGGUGGAGCUCUGGACGUUCUGGUGCUGCUCCUCUGCCCAUGCCUGGUCUGGUGGGCGAGCGGCAUGGUGACGACUAUGCGGUGGGAGGCAAGAAGGUGGUUGCCCAGUGGGUUGGGAAAGAUGAAGUGGGGCUUUGCGGUUGGCACGAGCUGGCCGUUUUACAUCUGUAUUUACAUCUGCAAUGGUUGGUGA